GACGAACGCUGGCGGCGUGCCUAAUACAUGCAAGUCGAGCGAAGUUUUUCUGGUGCUUGCACCGGAAAAACUUAGCGGCGAACGGGUGAGUAACACGUAAAGAACCUGCCUCAUAGACUGGGACAACUAUUGGAAACGAUAGCUAAUACCGGAUAACAGCAUUAACUGCAUGGUUGAUGUUUAAAAGUUGGUUUUGCUAACACUAUGAGAUGGCUUUGCGGUGCAUUAGCUAGUUGGUGGGGUAAAGGCCUACCAAGGCGACGAUGCAUAGCCGACCUGAGAGGGUGAUCGGCCACACUGGGACUGAGACACGGCCCAGACUCCUACGGGAGGCAGCAGUAGGGAAUCUUCCGCAAUGGGCGAAAGCCUGACGGAGCAACGCCGCGUGAGUGAAGAAGGAUUUCGGUUCGUAAAGCUCUGUUGUUAGGG
This 429-nucleotide ribosomal RNA is filed under the name Gemella haemolysans. RNAcentral describes it as "bacterial SSU rRNA". It matches the Rfam family "Bacterial small subunit ribosomal RNA", at positions 28 to 444 of the family's 1533-position model. Lineage: Bacteria; Bacillati; Bacillota; Bacilli; Caryophanales; Gemellaceae. The record is from RNAcentral.